UACGUAGGGUGCGAGCGUUGUCCGGAAUUACUGGGCGUAAAGAGCUCGUAGGCGGUUUGUCGCGUUGUUCGUGAAAUUCCCUGGCUUAACUGGGGGCGUGCGGGCGAUACGGGCAGACUGGAGUACGGCAGGGGAGACUGGAAUUCCUGGUGUAGCGGUGGAAUGCGCAGAUAUCAGGAGGAACACCGGUGGCGAAGGCGGGUCUCUGGGCAGUAACUGACGCUGAGGAGCGAAAGCGUGGGGAGCGAACAGG
RNAcentral lists this ribosomal RNA (253 nucleotides) under uncultured bacterium. RNAcentral describes it as "partial 16S ribosomal RNA". It matches the Rfam family "Bacterial small subunit ribosomal RNA", at positions 524 to 776 of the family's 1533-position model. The record is from RNAcentral.